RNAcentral lists this ribosomal RNA (247 nucleotides) under uncultured bacterium. RNAcentral's name for it is "partial 16S ribosomal RNA". It matches the Rfam family "Bacterial small subunit ribosomal RNA", at positions 523 to 769 of the family's 1533-position model. The record is from RNAcentral.
AUACGUAGGGAGCAAGCGUUAUCCGGAUUUACUGGGUGUAAAGGGCGCGUAGGCGGGAUGACAAGUCAGGUGUGAAAUCUAUGGGCUCAACCCAUAAACUGCACUUGAAACUGUUGUUCUUGAGUGAUGGAGAGGCAAGUGGAAUUCCUAGUGUAGCGGUGAAAUGCGUAGAUAUUAGGAGGAACACCGGUGGCGAAGGCGGCUACCUGGACCGAUACUGACGCUGAGACGCGAAAGCGUGGGGAGC